GACAGAGGAUGCAAACGUUGCUCGGAUUUACUGGGCGUAAAGCGCGCGUAGGCGGUCUCGUAAGUCAGACGUGAAAUCCCGGGGCUCAACCUCGGAAGUGCGUCUGAUACUGCGAGACUGGAGUACUGGAGAGGAGAGCGGAAUUCCCGGUGUAGAGGUGAAAUUCGUAGAUAUCGGGAGGAACACCAGUGGCGAAGGCGGCUCUCUGGACAGAUACUGACGCUGAGGCGCGAAAGCGUGGGAAGCAAACAGG
This 253-nucleotide ribosomal RNA is filed under the name uncultured bacterium. Its description in RNAcentral is "partial 16S ribosomal RNA". It matches the Rfam family "Bacterial small subunit ribosomal RNA", at positions 524 to 776 of the family's 1533-position model. The record is from RNAcentral.